This 253-nucleotide ribosomal RNA is filed under the name uncultured bacterium. RNAcentral's name for it is "partial 16S ribosomal RNA". It matches the Rfam family "Bacterial small subunit ribosomal RNA", at positions 524 to 776 of the family's 1533-position model. The record is from RNAcentral.
UACGUAGGGUGCAAGCGUUAAUCGGAAUUACUGGGCGUAAAGCGUGCGCAGGCGGUUAUGUAAGACAGUUGUGAAAUCCCCGGGCUUAACCUGGGAACUGCGGCCGAAACUGCUGGGCUUGAGUGUGGUAGAGGGCGGUGGAAUUCCGGGUGUAGCGGUGAAAUGCGCAGAUAUCAGGAGGAACACCAGCGGCGAAGGCGGCGCUCUGGGCCGGAACUGACGCUGAGGAGCGAAAGCGUGGGUAGCAAACAGG